GAUGAACGCUAGCGGCAGGCCUAACACAUGCAAGUCGAGGGGCAGCACAGAAACAGCAAUGUUUUGGUGGCGGCCGGCGGACGGGUGCGUAACGCGUAUGCAACCUACCUUUAACAGGGGGAUAACGGAGAGAAAUUUCCACUAAUACCCCAUAACAUCGAUCAAGGCAUCUUGAUUGGUUGAAAACUCCGGUGGUUAAAGAUGGGCAUGCGUUGUAUUAGGUAGUUGGUGAGGUAAUGGCUCAACAAGCCUACGAUACAUAGGGGGACUGAGAGGUUAGCCCCCCACACUGGUACUGAGACACGGACCAGACUCCUACGGGAGGCAGCAGUGAGGAAUAUUGGUCAAUGGGGGCAACCCUGAACCAGCCAUGCCGCGUGCAGGAAGACGGCUCUAUGAGUUGUAAACUGCUUUUAAACAGGGAUAAAGCACAGUAUGUAUACUGUGUUGAAGGUACUGUAAGAAUAAGGAUCGGCUAACUCCGUGCCAGCCGCCGCGGUAA
RNAcentral lists this ribosomal RNA (502 nucleotides) under uncultured bacterium. RNAcentral describes it as "partial 16S ribosomal RNA". It matches the Rfam family "Bacterial small subunit ribosomal RNA", at positions 28 to 523 of the family's 1533-position model. The record is from RNAcentral.